RNAcentral lists this ribosomal RNA (1032 nucleotides) under Triticum aestivum (bread wheat). RNAcentral describes it as "partial small subunit ribosomal RNA". The record is from RNAcentral. Lineage: Eukaryota; Viridiplantae; Streptophyta; Magnoliopsida; Poales; Poaceae.
AUGUCUUCUCAGAUGAAUAACCGCAUCCAGUCCGCUGGAAAGCGCGCGCGCACAGACGGUAGCCGGCGUGAGGACGACUGGAUUUGCCCCAGCUGUAACAACGUCAACUUCGCAUUCCGCACCACCUGCAACAUGCGCAACUGCGACCAGUCCAGGCCCGCAGAUCACACGGCUAUGCAGACUCCACCCCACUACUCGGUGCCGGGGCGGUACAUGCCGCCGGGGACGCCUCCGUCCAUGUACCUCACCGGGGCUCCUCCCCCGUAUGGCUCCAACCUCUAUAAUGGGCAUCCCAUGCCACGCUAUGGCAUUCCUCAGCUCCCUCCGGGCUCUGGAUAUCCGUAUGGCUAUGGCGGGCGAGUCCCGAUGGGGAGCCCCUAUGGGCCAAUGCAUAUGGCGGCACCACCCCCAUAUUCUAGUGGUUCUAUGGUUGGUGCAGGUGGAAUGUACAGCAUCAGCAUGCCCAUGGAUAGAUAUGGCUUGGGCUCACCCGCUGGUCCUGGGGCAAUGGGCACAAGGGCUGGUUCCUAUUCUGACGAAGGCUCACAGAAGAAAUCUGCUGGAGCUGGACGUGAUAAUGAUUGGAAGUGCCCUAAUUGCAACAACAUUAACUUCGCCUUUCGGACAGUCUGUAACAUGAGAAAAUGCAACACACCAAGACCUGACACCCAGGGAUCCAAACCUGACAGUUCAAGAGCUCCAAAACCAAAGACUCCAGAGGGUAGCUGGAAGUGUGAAAAGUGCAAUAACAUAAACUAUCCUUUCCGGACAAAAUGCAACCGUCCAAGUUGUGGGGAAGAAAAGCCAUUGCAGGCAAACAGUCCUGAUGAUCUGGCUACAGAUCAGGACAAUCAGUUUUUGUCAUGUAAUAUGGGGAAGCUUUUAUCAAAGCUGCAACUUUCACAUGACUUUGAAGACAACAGUGUUCUAAUCGAGAAGGAUGUUCCCGGCCACGCUGCUGGACUACCGGUACCGACAAGUUCGCAUGCCCUGCGAAUGGCAGCUCUCAGUGAGCUGCAAGACAGUUUAUAG